This is a long non-coding RNA of Acanthopagrus latus (yellowfin seabream), 547 nucleotides long. RefSeq lists it as uncharacterized. The record is from RefSeq and is a predicted model, not a curated record. The transcript has 2 exons. NCBI's taxonomy places the organism in Eukaryota, Metazoa, Chordata, Actinopteri, Spariformes, Sparidae.
GAGUCAGAAUCUGUAUAUUACUUGUGGUGGAGAUCCUGGGCCACGUGUCGUUCAGCACCGUCUCCAAUUUGUCCCUCAGCUCAGAAACACUCUCGGUCACGUCCUCGAAGCUGCGCAGAGGAGCAGCGCCGGGCGAGAACUUCAAACAGUGCCGUGGGGACCUUCUUCUCUUCUGUUUGCUUAUUCAGUUAUGAACAAAUACAUAAAUAUAUUUCUGAGUUUGUAUUAUUACUGUAUUUAUAUUGGAAAUGUUAAAUUUGAUAGUUUGAUUUCAUUAUGUUUACACCAAACCCCAGUCAAAAUGUGUCAACUUUUGAAACAUUUUGGACUGAGGUUUGGUGUAAAUUGAGGUCAAAUUUACUUCUAUUUUUCUCCAGAAAUUGAAGGCGUGCGGUGUCAUUUUGGCAAAUAAAUCAAACUGUGAAAUGUAAUAUCAGGUAUUUCGACUGCACCACUCCAUCAUGUACUACAUUUUGUAUUUCAGCACAAACGAGACACUUGUUUUCAUGGGAAAAAUGGGGGGUUUGGUGGGAUGAAUUUACAGGAA